RNAcentral lists this ribosomal RNA (292 nucleotides) under uncultured bacterium. RNAcentral's name for it is "partial 16S ribosomal RNA". It matches the Rfam family "Bacterial small subunit ribosomal RNA", at positions 505 to 796 of the family's 1533-position model. The record is from RNAcentral.
GUGUCAGCCGCCGCGGUAAGACAGAGGGUGCAAACGUUGCUCGGAAUCACUGGGCGUAAAGGGCGUGUAGGCGGGUAGAUAAGUCGGGCGUGAAAUCCCUAGGCUCAACCUAGGAACUGCACUCGAAACUGUUUAUCUUGAGUGCCGGAGAGGAAAGCGGAAUUCCUGGUGUAGAGGUGAAAUUCGUAGAUAUCAGGAGGAACACCAGUGGCGAAGGCGGCUUUCUGGACGGUAACUGACGCUGAGACGCGAAAGCGUGGGGAGCAAACAGGAUUAGAAACCCUUGUAGUCC